UCAGUUAUUGUCAUCCCUUACUAUCCCGUGAUCAGACAAAUAUUGCUAUCCUUGUCUCCUUUCUAACCGGCAUGCAUCACACGCAUAGAACGCGUGAGCAACCGCGUCACCGGUAACAUCUUGACAAGCGAUAGCAAACCGGUAUUUAUUACGUCCCUUACUAUCCCAGGAUCACACAAAUAGUGCUAUCCUUGUUUAUGUGACCGCCGCCGCGCGCCGCCGCCGGUGAAGUUGGGAUUAGUUUUUUGCAUGUUUUGUUUGUUCAUUUGUUUACAGUUUAGUGCAAACCAUGGCCACGAUCGGUGUUAUUGUUGUUUGUUAAAAUAUUGUGAGUGCUCUAAAAGCAAAUGAAUAUUCAAGAUCUUAUAUUCUAAAAGAUAUUAGUGGAUGCAGUUAAGAGUGUUUAGUGAGUGCUAUGUUUGAAUAUUGCAAGUGAAAACACAGCCCAUCAAUGUAAUGCGCUAAAAAACUGCAAUGGCUCCGAAUACAUGAUUACCAGAUAACAAAUCCUGGCGCAGCUUACGUGUGUGCUUCUAUAACGUCGCAAGCUACAGUGGCUGUUCAUAAUUUUUGCAAGCUCUACACCAACAGGAUUCAGUUAUCUGGGCAUUAUAGAUACCCUAUUAUCACCUAAGAAGUUAUUUAGGUAUAUUUAUUAAAACCAUUAAAUAGAGGUGAGUGAUUGAGUUAAUUAGUAUAUAUAUGUUUUAUGAUUUUUACAUCUUAUUUAAAAAUAGAAAAGUGUAUCUGCCAUUCUUGGAAAAGUUAAAAUAAAUAACAUAUAAUUUAGGUAAUAGGUAUAGAAUAGGUAAUUUUUGAUAAUUUUUUUUUCUAUCAAAUAAAGAUGUUUAAUUAUACCUAAGUAUCUUUAUGAACAAAAAAUAUUACUUUGGGAUACGUGAGUUUCAACUAUGAUGUUUAAACUAUUGCUGCUGUAUCUGAUCUCGUUAAUUUUAUUCUUAAAUUGUAAUUAUUUGUCUCACAAUAUGAAACGGGGACCAAAAGCAAAAGUAUCAUUAGAAGCCCAAAAGGAUGUGUUUGUGAAGUUUAGAGACACUUUUCGAGAAGGUUUACCUCAUUUCCGCCAUGAAGUGUAUAGUCAAAUACAAUCUGAGUUUAAUUAUGUAAUGUCAAUCAGAGCUAUACAACUCAGCUUAAAAAAGAAUUAUACGUUCUUUUUCGGGCAUGAUGUGAACUUUUUCAAUAGCCUUCCAGCAUUCGAAAAUGACUUACAUUCAACAUUUGAUGAUUCCUCAGAUAGCAAGACUCAUAUUUUUUUAGUAGAUACAAUCACAUGGAAUGAAAUCCGACCAAAAAACUAUUAUUAUAAAAGAAAUGAUCGACCAAAAAAUCAAUACAAUAUUAAAAAAAGAUUACCUAUUAAUAAAUGGUCAAAUUUAAUACAGUUGCAGCUUUGGAAAGCAUUGCGUCUGCUUUGCACUUGGUGCUUUCAAAAUAACUGGGCCAGUAAUGAGUAUGAUAUUAAGUGCAAUGGUUACUGUAACCAAUGUCGCGCCAACAUUUCCCUUUCUUCUCACUUAAAAACAGAAAAUUUUAUAGAAGUUAAAUGUACAAUAACUAACUGGAAACAAAAUUACAAACAUUCAUCUAACGUAAAAAAUCAAAUCAGACCCGAGUACAGAAAAAAAUGGCUCAAAAUUUACAGCAAGAAUCAGCGGCUUCUAUACGUUACAAAAUGGCUUCCGAAUUAAUGUUGGAAGACGAUCCUGAGCCCUCAGUCUUGCCAAAAUUAGAACAGUUACAUCAGAUUAGAUACGAACAUAAAAAAGCAGACCAUUUUCAUGAGAAUCCCGUCUUAUCCCUGGCAGCGAUGAGCGAA
This is a non-coding RNA of Plutella xylostella (diamondback moth), 1840 nucleotides long. The record is from RefSeq and is a predicted model, not a curated record. NCBI's taxonomy places the organism in Eukaryota, Metazoa, Arthropoda, Insecta, Lepidoptera, Plutellidae.